GGAGUAUCUUCUUUUGAUGGCAAUGAUUCCUCCCUUUCCCUAUUUCUGCUCUCCAAUUCAUAUGUGACAGUAGUACCAUCUGUAGUCUCAACAAUGGCUGAAGGGGCCAACAUAUCAAUCCUUUCCUCAUUAUUAGAGUUUGAUGAGUCAAUAUCAUGAACUCGCACUCCCUGCUUAUCCAUAUUGGUAUUGUCAAUUGAUGAAGUGUCAUGUGCCAAGGGAAUUGAAAAUGGAUUAAUAGCCACAAUAUCGACAUCAGGAGCCACAGAGUUCUCCACAGAAUAAGAUACUGAAGAAUCUUCGACUCCCAAAUUGGGAUUGAUGUUA
RNAcentral lists this unclassified non-coding RNA (327 nucleotides) under Hevea brasiliensis (rubber tree). Lineage: Eukaryota; Viridiplantae; Streptophyta; Magnoliopsida; Malpighiales; Euphorbiaceae. The record is from RNAcentral.